This 222-nucleotide ribosomal RNA is filed under the name Entrophospora sp. RNAcentral describes it as "partial small subunit ribosomal RNA". It matches the Rfam family "Eukaryotic small subunit ribosomal RNA", at positions 665 to 869 of the family's 1831-position model. Lineage: Eukaryota; Fungi; Glomeromycota; Glomeromycetes; Entrophosporales; Entrophosporaceae. The record is from RNAcentral.
GGAUUGACACAUCGGUCGUGCCUUAAGGGGUAUGAACUGGUGUAGUCAAUUUCUCACCUUCUGGAGAACCGCGAUGCCCUUAAUUGGGUGUCACGGGGAACCAGGACCUUUACUUUGAAAAAAUUAGAGUGUUUAAAGCAGGCAUUUUGCUUGAAUACAUUAGCAUGGAAUAAUAAAAUAGGAAGGCAGGAGGAGAGGUGGUUGGGGGAUAGGAGAAACGGA